RNAcentral lists this long non-coding RNA (199 nucleotides) under Solanum tuberosum (potato). RNAcentral's name for it is "long non-coding RNA (STUB_LNC000608)". The record is from RNAcentral. Lineage: Eukaryota; Viridiplantae; Streptophyta; Magnoliopsida; Solanales; Solanaceae.
UUUUCAAUCUCACAAAAUCAGCAACCCUAGGUCGCCGCAUUACCAGCUUUGGCCGGCAAACCUUUUCGCCGUCGUGACCAACUCCUCUCACCCUCACCCACCUUGUCUCCUCCAUUGUCUUCCUUUCACCGCACCACCAGCAAACCAAGACUGCUUCUCCUCUCGAUUCUCUUCGGCCACCAACGAACCUCCUCGCCGC